This is a long non-coding RNA of Melitaea cinxia (Glanville fritillary), 88 nucleotides long. RefSeq lists it as uncharacterized. The record is from RefSeq and is a predicted model, not a curated record. The transcript has 4 exons. Lineage: Eukaryota; Metazoa; Arthropoda; Insecta; Lepidoptera; Nymphalidae.
GGCCCCUAGCGUGUUUAAGCAAAAAAGUUAGUAAAGUGUUAUCCACGAUAUAUCUGGAUUAAAUAAAUUAUUAUAAUGUUAUAUAAAA